CAUAGAUGCUAUACCUGUUUUUAAAAAAGACGAUUGGCAAUAGUCUGUUUGGAAACAAGUGUUUACCUGCAAAAGAUAGAUUAAAAAUAACUGUGGUCUAUUCUUAUAAUCAGUAAUAGACAUUUAUGAAUGACACCUGCUUGGAUCCAUAUAGAUGCAAAACUCAAAAGGUUAUUUUCAUGUUAUUUCAGCUAGACUAGUUUGAAGUUAUGUACUUACUAUGGAAUGGCAUGACUUCAUGUUGUGUGCAAAUGUGAUGAGGGGCAAAGAAAAGUAAGGGCAGGCGAAACCCCAAAUUCAAGAUUGUAGGAAGGGGUAAGAUCAGGGAGGUACUCACAGAUGAUGAACAAGGUUUCCAUCUUUCUACCUAGGUACUGGCUACAAAGUGUGGCAUGAAUGAUGGCCUCAAUGAUCUCUGUCCCCUGGUGUUACACCUGUGAUUAUGUCACUUAAUAUUGCAAAAGGAUUUUAUAGUUGUAAUUAAGGUGACUAGUCAGUUGAUUCCGAGUUAAUCAAAAGGGAGAUUGUCUGGGUGGUCUAACCUGAUCACUUAAACCCUUUAAAAGCAAAGCAUUUUCUUGAGCUAGUUGCAGAACAAGAAGUCAGAGAUUCAACACAUGAGAAGAGUUUGAUUGACAUGUCACUGCUUUCUUGAUGACAGAGGGGGCCACACGUCAAAGAAGUGAGGACUUAAAUCCUACAGUUGCAAGGAACUGAAUUCUGCCAAGAAUAAACUUGGAAAAUGACUCUUCCCCAGAGCCUCCAAUGAGAAUUCAGCUUGGCCAUAACCCUGAUUGCAUCCUUGUGAUAACUUCAGCAGAGAGCCCUCCAGCCAUGCUGGACCUCCAUACAGAACUUGUGCUUGAAUUAAAUCCAUUAUAACCAAAGAAGGCAUUUGAACAUGGAAUAAAGUUGGCUUGACUGCCUGUAUCCUGACCCCAUCAAGCAUGGAAUCACUACUAACAACAUACGUGAAACAUGAUCAAAAACCCUGGAAGUUUAAGACAGCAACUCCAUUGACUCCAACAGGCACUUCAACAGAUUUUAACAGAUGUGAGAUGAAUGACACAAAAUAAAUAAAACCUAAUGUGAACAAUCAGCCACAAGAUGGCAUUUGAAUACUAAUGUAUUUAAAGUUUGGGGCAGUAACUUAAACACAUGGCUAUUUUAAUCUUUUCCUUUCCCCGGUCACUUUUUCUCAUAUUGUCAUGUAAGAAGAUCACAACUUUAUUUUCCCUGUAGCCUAAGUCAUAAACAUUUAUUUAUCAGCUUACUUUUUAUCUCUUGUGAUGGUUGAUUUUAUGUGUCAAUUUCACUGGGUCAGGAGGUGCUCAGAUAUUUGGUCAUUUUCUGUGUGUUUCUGUGGGGGUAUUUUUGGAUGAAAUUAAUAUUAAAUUGGUAGACUGAAUAAAGCAGAUUGCUGUUUAUAA
Long non-coding RNA from Bubalus bubalis (water buffalo), 1430 nucleotides. RefSeq lists it as uncharacterized. The transcript has 2 exons. The record is from RefSeq and is a predicted model, not a curated record. Lineage: Eukaryota; Metazoa; Chordata; Mammalia; Artiodactyla; Bovidae.